Molecule: unclassified non-coding RNA, 243 nt
Filed under: uncultured fungus
Lineage: Eukaryota; Fungi
Description: partial contains 5.8S ribosomal RNA, internal transcribed spacer 2, and large subunit ribosomal RNA
Rfam family: 5.8S ribosomal RNA (bases 1-52)
Source: RNAcentral
AACGCACAUUGCGCCCCCUGGUAUUCCGGGGGGCAUGCCUGUUCGAGCGUCAUUUCACCACUCAAGCCUCGCUUGGUAUUGGGCAACGCGGUCCGCCGCGUGCCUCAAAUCGACCGGCUGGGUCUUCUGUCCCCUAAGCGUUGUGGAAACUAUUCGCUAAAGGGUGCUCGGGAGGCUACGCCGUAAAACAAACCCAUUUCUAAGGUUGACCUCGGAUCAGGUAGGGAUACCCGCUGAACUUAA